AGGGUCAUGUAGAGGAAGUAAAAGUAGAUCAAGGUAUCCGUAAGUGAACCUGAGGAAGGAUCAUUCACGUAUCUCAGACGGGGAGGGCGAGCCAUGCUCCGGGAACCGAAAGGCCCCGUGCAGCGGGUGAGCCCGUGCCGCUCAAACCUUCCAAACCCACUGGAAACAUUUGUCGGCGGAGGGCCCAGUCAAUGGGCCCCGAGCCGAACCCACAAACUCCAAGCAUUAAAAGAAAGACUAGCGGCCGUUGUGCCGUCUAAACUUUAACAACUUUCAACAACGGAUAUCUUGGCUCUCGCAUCGAUGAAGAACGCAGCGAAAUGCGAUAAGUAAUGAGAAUUGCAGAAUUCAGUGAAUCAUAGAAUCUUUGAACGCCCCUUGCGCUCCUUGGUAUUCCGAGGAGCACGCCUGUUUGAUCGUCAUGAAGUCAUCAACCUAUCCCGUUUUGCGACGGGUCCAGGUUGGAGCCUGGGGGCGGGCGGCCGCGAGGCUGCUCCCCUCAAAUGCAUCGGUUGGGCCUGCGGGUCGGACUCGGUUGGGCGUUGUACCAUCCUCGCUAUUAUUCCGAGAUGUUCCCCUAUUAAUGUGCCCUCCCACGACCGCCCCGUCUGGAGUCGGCGGUCAAAGCUUUUGAAGCACUUUGAAAUCUGACCUCAAAUCAGGUAGGACUACCCGCUGAACUUAAGCAUAUCAAUAAGCGGAGGA
This 705-nucleotide ribosomal RNA is filed under the name uncultured Polyporales. RNAcentral describes it as "eukaryotic LSU rRNA". The stretch from base 269 to 422 matches the Rfam family "5.8S ribosomal RNA". The record is from RNAcentral. Lineage: Eukaryota; Fungi; Basidiomycota; Agaricomycetes; Polyporales.